RNAcentral lists this ribosomal RNA (253 nucleotides) under uncultured bacterium. RNAcentral's name for it is "partial 16S ribosomal RNA". It matches the Rfam family "Bacterial small subunit ribosomal RNA", at positions 524 to 776 of the family's 1533-position model. The record is from RNAcentral.
UACGAGGGGUACUAGCGUUAUUGGGAAUUAUUGGGCGUAAAGGGUGCUCAGACGGUAUAUUAAGUCAGCUGUUUAAUUCUCCGGCCUAACUGGAGGUCAGCGGUAGAUACUGAUAUGCUAGAGGGUGAGAGAGAGAAGUGGAAUUCUCGGAGUAGCGGUAAAAUGCGUAGAUCUCGAGGGGAACACCGAUGGCGAAGGCAGCUUCUGAGCUCACUCCUGACGGUCAUGCACGAAAGCGUGGGGAGCAAACAGG